RNAcentral lists this ribosomal RNA (498 nucleotides) under uncultured bacterium. Its description in RNAcentral is "partial 16S ribosomal RNA". It matches the Rfam family "Bacterial small subunit ribosomal RNA", at positions 27 to 507 of the family's 1533-position model. The record is from RNAcentral.
GGAUGAACGCUGGCGGCGUGCCUAAUCCAUGCAAGUCGAGCGAACAGACGAGGAGCUUGCUCCUCUGACGUUAGCGGCGGACGGGUGAGUAACACGUGGAUAACCUACCUAUACGACUGGGAUAACUUCGGGAAACCGGAGCUAAUACCGGAUAAUAUAUUGAACCGCAUGGUUCAAUAGUGAAAGACGGUUUUGCUGUCACUUAUAGAUGGAUCCGCGCCGCAUUAGCUAGUUGGUAAGGUAACGGCUUACCAAGGCAACGAUGCGUAGCCGACCUGAGAGGGUGAUCGGCCACACUGGAACUGAGACACGGUCCAGACUCCUACGGGAGGCAGCAGUAGGGAAUCUUCCGCAAUGGGCGAAAGCCUGACGGAGCAACGCCGCGUGAGUGAUGAAGGUCUUCGGAUCGUAAAACUCUGUUAUUAGGGAAGAACAAAUGUGUAAGUAACUAUGCACGUCUUGACGGUACCUAAUCAGAAAGCCACGGCUAACUACGUG